AGCUGUCCAGAAUAACAGUGGUCCAGCCACUUUCCCUGCCCUCUGUGGGGUCUCUGCAAUGCUUGAGGAUCAGAAAAUCCAUAUAAAAAGAAGAAUCCAUCUCAGAUUAACAGGAAAGCUGUUAUCGUCAGCUUGUCCCCAGUACAAAAACUGCCCUGUAAGACAACACAUAGAAGCUGACAGCAAG
RNAcentral lists this long non-coding RNA (187 nucleotides) under Struthio camelus australis. RNAcentral describes it as "lncRNA (ENSSCUG00000013242.1)". Lineage: Eukaryota; Metazoa; Chordata; Aves; Struthioniformes; Struthionidae. The record is from RNAcentral.